AAUCAACGCUGGCGGCGUGCCUAACACAUGCAAGUUGAGCGCUUGAGGGGGGCAACCCCCAAGAGAGCAGCGAACGGGUGAGUAACGCGUGGGUGAUCUUCCUUCGAGUGGGGAACAACAUCGGGAAACUGGUGCUAAUUCCGCAUAAUAUCCCGGGGCUACGAGCCUCAGGAUCAAAGCCGGGGACCGCAAGGCCUGGCGCUUGAAGAUGAGCCCGCGUCCGAUUAGCUAGUUGGCGGGGUAAUGGCCCACCAAGGCUUCGAUCGGUAGCCGGCCUGAGAGGGCGGACGGCCACACUGGAACUGAGACACGGUCCAGACUCCUACGGGAGGCAGCAGUGGGGAAUUUUUCGCAAUGGGCGCAAGCCUGACGAAGCAACGCCGCGUGGAGGAUGAAGGUCUUCGGAUUGUAAACUCCUGUCGACCGGGACGAAUGCACUCGACCUAAUACGUCGGAAUGUUGACGGUACCGGUGGAGGAAGCCACGGCUAACUCUGUGCCAGCAG
RNAcentral lists this ribosomal RNA (505 nucleotides) under uncultured bacterium. RNAcentral describes it as "bacterial SSU rRNA". It matches the Rfam family "Bacterial small subunit ribosomal RNA", at positions 32 to 514 of the family's 1533-position model. The record is from RNAcentral.